GUCUCAGUAGUAUAAACAUUACCUUGGUCUUGUAAACCAAAAAUGAGAUCUUUCCUCCCUCCUGAGAUA
This is a non-coding RNA of Fukomys damarensis (Damara mole-rat), 69 nucleotides long. The record is from Ensembl. NCBI's taxonomy places the organism in Eukaryota, Metazoa, Chordata, Mammalia, Rodentia, Bathyergidae.